Molecule: ribosomal RNA, 494 nt
Filed under: uncultured bacterium
Lineage: Bacteria
Description: bacterial SSU rRNA
Rfam family: Bacterial small subunit ribosomal RNA
Source: RNAcentral
GUUUGAUCCUGGCUCAGGAUGAACGCUAGCGGCAGGCCUAACACAUGCAAGUCGAGGGGUAUAGAGAGCUUGCUUUCUAGAGACCGGCGGAUGGGUGAGUAACGCGUAUGCAACCUACCUUUUACAGGGGAAUAGCCCGGAGAAAUUCGGAUUAAUGCUCCAUGGUUUAUAUGAAUGGCAUCGUUUAUAUAAUAAAGAUUUAUCGGUAAAAGAUGGGCAUGCGUAUCAUUAGCUAGUUGGUGUGGUAACGGCAUACCAAGGCUACGAUGAUUAGGGGUCCUGAGAGGGAGAUCCCCCACACUGGUACUGAGACACGGACCAGACUCCUACGGGAGGCAGCAGUGAGGAAUAUUGGUCAAUGGAGGCAACUCUGAACCAGCCAUGCCGCGUGCAGGAUGACGGUCCUAUGGAUUGUAAACUGCUUUUGUACGGGAAGAAAUGUAAUUACGUGUAAUUAUUUGACGGUACCGUAAGAAUAAGGAUCGGCUAACUCC